CCUACGGGAGGCUGCAGUGGGGAAUAUUGGACAAUGGGCGAAAGCCUGAUCCAGCCAUGCCGCGUGUGUGAAGAAGGCCUUCGGGUUGUAAAGCACUUUCAGUGGGGAAGAAAGCCUUGGGGCUAAUACCCUCGAGGAAGGACAUCACCCACAGAAGAAGCACCGGCUAACUCCGUGCCAGCAGCCGCGGUAAUACGGAGGGUGCGAGCGUUAAUCGGAAUUACUGGGCGUAAAGCGCGCGUAGGCGGUCUGUUAAGCCGGUUGUGAAAGCCCCGGGCUCAACCUGGGAACGGCAUCCGGAACUGUCAGGCUAGAGUGCAGGAGAGGAAGGUAGAAUUCCCGGUGUAGCGGUGAAAUGCGUAGAGAUCGGGAGGAAUACCAGUGGCGAAGGCGGCCUUCUGGACUGACACUGACGCUGAUGUGCGAAAGCGUGGGUAGCAAACAGGAUUAGAUACCCGGGUAGUC
This 465-nucleotide ribosomal RNA is filed under the name Vreelandella stevensii. RNAcentral describes it as "partial 16S ribosomal RNA". It matches the Rfam family "Bacterial small subunit ribosomal RNA", at positions 338 to 795 of the family's 1533-position model. The record is from RNAcentral. Lineage: Bacteria; Pseudomonadati; Pseudomonadota; Gammaproteobacteria; Oceanospirillales; Halomonadaceae.